RNA transcript from Propithecus coquereli (Coquerel's sifaka), 596 nucleotides. It is a transcript of the gene named SLAM family member 9 pseudogene, with no coding region annotated. The record is from RefSeq and is a predicted model, not a curated record. The transcript has a single exon. Lineage: Eukaryota; Metazoa; Chordata; Mammalia; Primates; Indriidae.
CUUUACCAAGCUCAAGUCAACCUGGGGACAUCCCAGAUCUUUGCCAUGAGGCACUACAAUCUACAUGUCUACCGAAGGCUGUCAGAACCCCAAAUCGCUGUGAACUUUGAGAUCUCUGGGGAACGCACCUGUGAUAUGUCCCUGACAUGCUCCGUGGAGAAGGCAGGCAUGGAUGUGACCUACAGCUGGCUCUGCUGGGGGGACAACACUGAGACAGUACAUGAAGGCCCUGUCCUCAGCACAUCCUGGAGGCCUGGGGACAGUGCCCUCUCCUACACCUGCAGGGCCAGCAACCCUGUCAGCAAUGUCAGUUCUCGUCCUAUCCCUGCUGGCUCCUUCUGUGCAGAUCCCAGAUAUCCUUCUGAGAACCCCUCAACAGCCUUCUGCCUCCUGGCCAAGGUGUUGCUCCUCCUCUUGCUCUUGGUAAUCCUGGCCGUGGGGAUCUGGAUCACCCGAGUCUGGAAAAGAGGCAAAAUGCCAAGAAUGAAGAAACUCAGGAGAAACAGAAUGAAACCGAGGAAGAAGAGGACGCCUGGCCCCAGCCCUGUCUGACUGCUCCUUGGGGACCCCCGUCCUGAGCUUUGAUUCUUCCCAGC